Molecule: unclassified non-coding RNA, 310 nt
Filed under: Hevea brasiliensis (rubber tree)
Lineage: Eukaryota; Viridiplantae; Streptophyta; Magnoliopsida; Malpighiales; Euphorbiaceae
Source: RNAcentral
GUAAAAUUUCAUUUUUUAUGGCUGAAAAUACUAGUUUGAAGCAGCAGUUGAGUGGCAAUGGUUUGUGUCCUUCUCCUUUGUAUCCACCAAUGGCUCCCAUGCCAUAUUCGUGGGUGCCGUGUGCCCCUUAUGUUGUUAAGCCGCCAGGGUCUCAGGUGCAGCACUUGGUUCCAAUCCCUAGAUUGAAGACUCAGCAGCCUGUGUCAGCUGUGAAAGCUAAAAAGGCAGAGGCUAAGAAAGCUGAAGUUAAGACUAAGAAGGUUGCUAGUGUUAGUUUUUUAGGUUUGUUAUUUUUCAUUUUGUUGUUUGG